AGGCUGUGACUUGUGCAAGUUUUG
This 24-nucleotide microRNA is filed under the name Blattella germanica (German cockroach). Its description in RNAcentral is "Bge-Mir-92-P14_5p* (star (passenger))". The record is from RNAcentral. Lineage: Eukaryota; Metazoa; Arthropoda; Insecta; Blattodea; Blattellidae.